AUACGGAGGAUGCGAGCGUUAUCCGGAUUUAUUGGGUUUAAAGGGAGCGUAGGUGGGAUAUUAAGUCAGCUGUGAAAGUUUGGGGCUCAACCUUAAAAUUGCAGUUGAUACUGGUUUCCUUGAGUACGGUAUAGGUGGGCGGAAUUCGUGGUGUAGCGGUGAAAUGCUUAGAUAUCACGAAGAACUCCGAUCGCGAAGGCAGCUCACCGGGCCGGAACUGACACUGAUGCUCGAAAGUGCGGGUAUCCAACAGGAUUAGAUACCCUGGUAGGCCGAACAGUAAACGAUGAAUACUCGCUGUUUGCGAUACACUGUAAGCGGCCAAGCGAAAGCGUUAAGUAAUCCACCUGGGGAGUACGCCGGCAACGGUGAAACUCAAAGGAAUUGACGGGG
RNAcentral lists this ribosomal RNA (393 nucleotides) under uncultured bacterium. RNAcentral describes it as "partial 16S ribosomal RNA". It matches the Rfam family "Bacterial small subunit ribosomal RNA", at positions 523 to 918 of the family's 1533-position model. The record is from RNAcentral.